UCCCCAGUGGCGCAACUGGUUAGCGCGCCGUACUUAUAAUGCGGAGGUUGUGAGUUCGAUCCUCACCUGCGGAA
This 74-nucleotide transfer RNA is filed under the name Stegodyphus dumicola. RNAcentral describes it as "tRNA-Ile". It matches the Rfam family "tRNA". Rfam says of the family: Transfer RNA (tRNA) molecules are approximately 80 nucleotides in length. Their secondary structure includes four short double-helical elements and three loops (D, anti-codon, and T loops). The record is from RNAcentral. Lineage: Eukaryota; Metazoa; Arthropoda; Arachnida; Araneae; Eresidae.